AUUGAACGCUGGCGGAAUGCUUUACACAUGCAAGUCGAGCGGCAGCGCGGGGCAACCUGGCGGCGAGCGGCGAACGGGUGAGUAAUACAUCGGAACGUGCCCAGACGUGGGGGAUAACUACUCGAAAGAGUGGCUAAUACCGCAUACGAUCUAAGGAUGAAAGCGGGGGAUCGCAAGACCUCGCGCGUUUGGAGCGGCCGAUGGCAGAUUAGGGUAGUUGGUGAGGUAAAGGCUUACCAAGCCUAGCGAUCUGUAGCUGGUCUGAGAGGAUGAUCAGCCACACUGGGACUGAGACACGGCCCAGACUCCUACGGGUAGGCAGCAGUGGGGAAUUUUGGACAAUGGGCGAAAGCCUGAUCCAGCCAUUCCGCGUGCAGGAUGAAGGCCCUCGGGUUGUAAACUGCUUUUGUACGGAACGAAAAGGCUCUUGCUAAUACCAGGAGUCCAUGACGGUACCGUAAGAUAAGCACCGGCUAACUACGUGCCAGCAGCCG
This 494-nucleotide ribosomal RNA is filed under the name uncultured bacterium. RNAcentral's name for it is "bacterial SSU rRNA". It matches the Rfam family "Bacterial small subunit ribosomal RNA", at positions 30 to 517 of the family's 1533-position model. The record is from RNAcentral.